This is a long non-coding RNA of Ailuropoda melanoleuca (giant panda), 746 nucleotides long. RefSeq lists it as uncharacterized. The transcript is spliced from 3 exons. The record is from RefSeq and is a predicted model, not a curated record. NCBI's taxonomy places the organism in Eukaryota, Metazoa, Chordata, Mammalia, Carnivora, Ursidae.
CAAAUACACACUAGAGGUGAUGGCUCUCCAGUCCAUUCCCUUGGGAACACAUGGGCUGUCCCACUAAAUGAGUAGCUGGAAGUUCCUUAUCUCUAGGAAUUUCAUUACCCAGACUAGAUUGCACUACCCUAUUACGUGCAGACAUGGCAGCAUAUUGCAAAGAGCUCUUGUAAUAGUGCCCAAGUUUUUCACCAAUAGCUUCAGGCCUCCAUUCCUGAAAUCUUCCUAGAAGCCUCUUCAUGACCUUCAACCUCAGGAAGUGACAUCAAAGAGAAACUGCCAUUACACAUCCUUGGAAUGGACCCCUUCAGGUCAGAACAUCCCUGAUGUCACUCCUGGGUUUCUGACUGCUGCAUGUGCCAUCCAUCUGCAGACCCCAUGAGCGUCCAAUGCCCCCCGCCCCCGAGAGCUUCUGGUGUCACAGGCAGAACUGACUGCUCACAAGCUCCGGCUCCAGUGGGUCCCAGGCAGCGACGGGGGCCCCCCAUCCACUACUUCACUGUGCAGGUGUGAGAGCUGCCCCGGGAAGAGCAGCUGACCUACUCCUCAUCCUUCCACCACAAGUCCAAAGCCUGUGCUGUUGAAAUGUACCCAGCACCAGGCGCGCCCUCCCCAGGGAACAGAGCAGAGAAUACGUGUGGGACAGAGUCGCACCUGGACAGCUGAGAUCUCUUCUCCUAGUGCACACUCCCUGUACCAGGGACCAGGACUCACACCUCCUGGAGCCGCUCUGUCCUCUGCCCUGG